GCAGGUGCAGAAGCGGGAGAUGGGGACUUCCAGGCGGGUGACGUUAGAAUGUGGUGACAGCGGUUAAAAACGGAACAUAAUAAGUUUACCACUGCAUUUUUAAUGCAAAGUAGAAGGGAGACUUUCACUUGCUGAAAGUUGAUUAAAUCUGUGCAAGGCGCCUCAUAAAGCCACUUGGCAUAUCCGAAACCGAAUGAAAUUAUAAGCAGCCGGAGUGCAACAGAUUACCAGUCAGAAACUCCUGGUGGAAUUCCGGACCCUUUACCACGAGCGCCUUCGACGCAUUGACCAAUCAGAUCACAGCCGGGAGGAGGCUCUGCAGAGCAAGGUGGGUGUGCUGCAGUCGUUUGUGUGAGACCUGAGUGAGCAGAAUUAGGUUCUGAUCCAGGCGCUGGAGGCUGAGGAGGCAGAGGACCGGGCGGUGGAGGGGAGAACAGUCAGCCUUCACAAAGAGCUGGAGCGCCGCCGAUCCUUGGCUCUGUGCCUGAUGCCAGUGGACCUCGUGGGAACCACGGCAACGUUCUUUCGGUCCCCGUACGUACCAAGACCCGUGACCCGAACCGGUGGAGGAGCGUGAAGCCCAGGUCCAGGAGCUGCAAGACACCAUCACAGAUCUGCACCAGGAGAUGACCAGGAAGGACCAGGACAAGCUGACACAGCUGCAGGAGCUCCACCAGCUGGAGAGCAGGGUGAAGCAGCCCACUGACCAGGCAGGGCUGGGGAACUAUUACCACCCAGACAGGUCUAGUUCUGGACUGGCCAAUUCUGUUGGUCAGGAGCAUUGAGGAGACCACAGGCCAGCUGUGACAGGAGGUAGUGUUAGAGUGGGCAUCAGCAGCGCUACCCUGUCUGGGGAUGGGAGUACUACUGACCCGACAGGAUCCAGUCCAGUCCCACAUCCUACAGAACAGAGGGGCAGAGAACUGCUGAAGACUGAGUUAUUAUGUCGGGACGCAACCAUCCAGAGGCUCCGGUGAGAUGUGCUGCUCUCCUACCAGGCCCGCGACUCCCAGUCUGCUCAGCUGGAUGUCCAUGGGCAGAGGAUCUCUCAGCUGCAGACGGAGCUACAGGAGAGCCAACUGGAGCUCCAGAGAGGACACAGCCGAAGAGAGCAGCAGCAGAGGGACCUGCAGACCCAGCAGGCAGAGGAGCUCCACACUCAGCUGGCUAAGGUCAAAGGGCGUCUUGUGCAGGUGGAGGGAGAAAAUGAGGCGCUCAUGGGAUAUAAGCGGGAGCAGGGAGCCGAGGUCAGACUGGGUGCCUGUCGUGGUUCACAGUGACUGGAGUCCACCACUAACACAAUACACACACUCUAGUGGAAACACUUUCAUAACCCAAAGUCCAUCAUCAGCAACACGCUGAU
Long non-coding RNA from Oncorhynchus masou masou (cherry salmon), 1363 nucleotides. RefSeq lists it as uncharacterized. The transcript is spliced from 10 exons. Lineage: Eukaryota; Metazoa; Chordata; Actinopteri; Salmoniformes; Salmonidae. The record is from RefSeq and is a predicted model, not a curated record.